UUAAAUUGAAGAGUUUGAUCAUGGCUCAGAUUGAACGCUGGCGGCAGGCCUAACACAUGCAAGUCGAACGGUAACAGGAAGCAGCUUGCUGCUUCGCUGACGAGUGGCGGACGGGUGAGUAAUGUCUGGGAAACUGCCUGAUGGAGGGGGAUAACUACUGGAAACGGUAGCUAAUACCGCAUAACGUCGCAAGACCAAAGGGGGGGACCUUCGGGCCUCUUGCCAUCGGAUGUGCCCAGAUGGGAUUAGCUUGUUGGUGGGGUAACGGCU
Molecule: ribosomal RNA, 270 nt
Filed under: Escherichia coli
Lineage: Bacteria; Pseudomonadati; Pseudomonadota; Gammaproteobacteria; Enterobacterales; Enterobacteriaceae
Description: partial 16S ribosomal RNA
Rfam family: Bacterial small subunit ribosomal RNA
Source: RNAcentral